UGGGGAAUAUUGCACAAUGGGCGAAAGCCUGACGGAGCAACGCCGCGUGAGUGAUGAAGGUCUUCGGAUCGUAAAACUCUGUUAUUAGGGAAGAACAAAUGUGUAAGUAACUUUGCACGUCUUGACGGUACCUAAUCAGAAAGCCACGGCUAACUACGUGCCAGCAGCCGCGGUAAUACGUAGGUGGCAAGCGUUAUCCGGAAUUAUUGGGCGUAAAGCGCGCGUAGGCGGUUUUUUAAGUCUGAUGUGAAAGCCCACGGCUCAACCGUGGAGGGUCAUUGGAAACUGGAAAACUUGAGUGCAGAAGAGGAAAGUGGAAUUCCAUGUGUAGCGGUGAAAUGCGCAGAGAUAUGGAGGAACACCAGUGGCGAAGGCGACUUUCUGGUCUGUAACUGACGCUGAUGUGCGAAAGCGUGGGGAUCAAACA
This 427-nucleotide ribosomal RNA is filed under the name uncultured bacterium. Its description in RNAcentral is "partial 16S ribosomal RNA". It matches the Rfam family "Bacterial small subunit ribosomal RNA", at positions 355 to 774 of the family's 1533-position model. The record is from RNAcentral.